UAACUGAGUGCCAUAUGUAUCGGCAACAACACAACAACCGUGCAGAAUCAUUGUAGUCAGAGAAGUCGAUGAGCAUAUUGCUUUCUCUGUUUUCAGAUAGUUUCCGAGCCCUCCUUCUCCAAGAUAAACUGAUAAAUAAAUCAUGUGCUGGCAGUGGUAUGAUAUUCAGGAGUGUCUCAUGGCUUAAUAGUCGUUCAGGCACGUGCAAUUUUUAAGAGUGAAGUCAGGAGAAUAACUUCUUCUGGGUUGAGGUUUCUACAGAUUGAUUCAUUGGAGGGAUGCUGGUGCAGUGGCCAUAUCUAUGGUAAGACGUAUGGGGUAAAAUUAGAAGUAGAUACCUUUUUGGUCUGCUGAAAUUUUACCCGUCUAAAGAAACUUGGUACGACAUACUAAGAUGAAAAAUUGUAUUCUUCAAUUUGAGACAUUUAAUAAUGAACUGAGAGGCUCUAGCAUGGACUACAAACUAAUCUCAGCUAUAUUUGGAUGCAGUGCAAGGAAUUCUUCUUCUUGCAGUUGCAGGACCAUGAGAUGUCGACGCUACACUAUGGACACACCAAUGUCCCAGCCAAGUCAGUGAUGCAGCCCCAACUCCUGAUUUCUUCAAGUUGAGGAAGUUGCGGCAGCCUGACUCCAUUCUGCCUAUUGCCGCCCUAUCCAAGUUGCUGCUAGGCAACUACUACUCCUGUUGGAUAGAUGAACCCUCUGACUAUCUAUUUUAUGUUAUUCCCUUUGUGUUAUCCAAUUGCUCUUGAUAAUUUAAUGAUUCAAUCAAAUUUCACUGCAAAUCAUACUGGAUCAGGCUUUUCUUCUUUCCAAUUUCACCGGUAGACGCGCAG
Long non-coding RNA from Triticum dicoccoides, 836 nucleotides. RefSeq lists it as uncharacterized. The transcript is spliced from 3 exons. Lineage: Eukaryota; Viridiplantae; Streptophyta; Magnoliopsida; Poales; Poaceae. The record is from RefSeq and is a predicted model, not a curated record.